RNAcentral lists this ribosomal RNA (449 nucleotides) under uncultured bacterium. RNAcentral's name for it is "partial 16S ribosomal RNA". It matches the Rfam family "Bacterial small subunit ribosomal RNA", at positions 29 to 523 of the family's 1533-position model. The record is from RNAcentral.
AAUGAACGCUGGCGGCAUGCCUAACACAUGCAAGUCGAACGAAGGCGUCGGCCUUAGGGGCGCACGGGUGCGUAACGCGUGGGAAUCUGCACUCAGGGUCGGAAUAACAGCGAGAAAUUGCUGCUAAUACCGGAUGAUAUCGCGAGAUCAAAGAUUUAUCGCCUGAGGUGGAGCUCGCGUAGGAUUGGCUAGUUGGUGUGGUAAAGGCGCACCAAGGCGACGAUCCUUAGUUGGUCUGAGAGGAUGAUCAGCCACACUGGGACUGAGACACGGCCCAGACUCCUACGGGAGGCAGCAGUGGGGAAUAUUGGACAAUGGGCGAAAGCCUGAUCCAGCAAUGCCGCGUGAGUGAUGAAGGCCUUAGGGUUGUAAAGCUCUUUUACCCGGGAUGAUAAUGACAGUACCGGGAGAAUAAGCUCCGGCUAACUCCGUGCCAGCCGCCGCAGUAA